GGGUUGUGAGGUUAAGCGACUAAGCGUACACGGUGGAUGCCCUGGCAGUCAGAGGCGAUGAAGGACGUGCUAAUCUGCGAUAAGCGUCGGUAAGGUGAUAUGAACCGUUAUAACCGGCGAUUUCCGAAUGGGGAAACCCAGUGUGUUUCGACACACUAUCAUUAACUGAAUCCAUAGGUUAAUGAGGCGAACCGGGGGAACUGAAACAUCUAAGUACCCCGAGGAAAAGAAAUCAACCGAGAUUCCCCCAGUAGCGGCGAGCGAACGGGGAGCAGCCCAGAGCCUGAAUCAGUGUGUGUGUUAGUGGAAGCGUCUGGAAAGGCGCGCGAUACAGGGUGACAGCCCCGUACACAAAAAUGCACAUACUGUGAGCUCGAUGAGUAGGGCGGGACACGUGGUAUCCUGUCUGAAUAUGGGGGGACCAUCCUCCAAGGCUAAAUACUCCUGACUGACCGAUAGUGAACCAGUACCGUGAGGGAAAGGCGAAAAGAACCCCGGCGAGGGGAGUGAAAAAGAACCUGAAACCGUGUACGUACAAGCAGUGGGAGCACGCUUAGGCGUGUGACUGCGUACCUUUUGUAUAAUGGGUCAGCGACUUAUAUUCUGUAGCAAGGUUAACCGAAUAGGGGAGCCGAAGGGAAACCGAGUCUUAACUGGGCGUUAAGUUGCAGGGUAUAGACCCGAAACCCGGUGAUCUAGCCAUGGGCAGGUUGAAGGUUGGGUAACACUAACUGGAGGACCGAACCGACUAAUGUUGAAAAAUUAGCGGAUGACUUGUGGCUGGGGGUGAAAGGCCAAUCAAACCGGGAGAUAGCUGGUUCUCCCCGAAAGCUAUUUAGGUAGCGCCUCGUGAAUUCAUCUCCGGGGGUAGAGCACUGUUUCGGCAAGGGGGUCAUCCCGACUUACCAACCCGAUGCAAACUGCGAAUACCGGAGAAUGUUAUCACGGGAGACACACGGCGGGUGCUAACGUCCGUCGUGAAGAGGGAAACAACCCAGACCGCCAGCUAAGGUCCCAAAGUCAUGGUUAAGUGGGAAACGAUGUGGGAAGGCCCAGACAGCCAGGAUGUUGGCUUAGAAGCAGCCAUCAUUUAAAGAAAGCGUAAUAGCUCACUGGUCGAGUCGGCCUGCGCGGAAGAUGUAACGGGGCUAAACCAUGCACCGAAGCUGCGGCAGCGACGCUUAUGCGUUGUUGGGUAGGGGAGCGUUCUGUAAGCCUGCGAAGGUGUGCUGUGAGGCAUGCUGGAGGUAUCAGAAGUGCGAAUGCUGACAUAAGUAACGAUAAAGCGGGUGAAAAGCCCGCUCGCCGGAAGACCAAGGGUUCCUGUCCAACGUUAAUCGGGGCAGGGUGAGUCGACCCCUAAGGCGAGGCCGAAAGGCGUAGUCGAUGGGAAACAGGUUAAUAUUCCUGUACUUGGUGUUACUGCGAAGGGGGGACGGAGAAGGCUAUGUUGGCCGGGCGACGGUUGUCCCGGUUUAAGCGUGUAGGCUGGUUUUCCAGGCAAAUCCGGAAAAUCAAGGCUGAGGCGUGAUGACGAGGCACUACGGUGCUGAAGCAACAAAUGCCCUGCUUCCAGGAAAAGCCUCUAAGCAUCAGGUAACAUCAAAUCGUACCCCAAACCGACACAGGUGGUCAGGUAGAGAAUACCAAGGCGCUUGAGAGAACUCGGGUGAAGGAACUAGGCAAAAUGGUGCCGUAACUUCGGGAGAAGGCACGCUGAUAUGUAGGUGAAGUCCCUCGCGGAUGGAGCUGAAAUCAGUCGAAGAUACCAGCUGGCUGCAACUGUUUAUUAAAAACACAGCACUGUGCAAACACGAAAGUGGACGUAUACGGUGUGACGCCUGCCCGGUGCCGGAAGGUUAAUUGAUGGGGUCAGCGCAAGCGAAGCUCUUGAUCGAAGCCCCGGUAAACGGCGGCCGUAACUAUAACGGUCCUAAGGUAGCGAAAUUCCUUGUCGGGUAAGUUCCGACCUGCACGAAUGGCGUAAUGAUGGCCAGGCUGUCUCCACCCGAGACUCAGUGAAAUUGAACUCGCUGUGAAGAUGCAGUGUACCCGCGGCAAGACGGAAAGACCCCGUGAACCUUUACUAUAGCUUGACACUGAACAUUGAGCCUUGAUGUGUAGGAUAGGUGGGAGGCUUUGAAGUGUGGACGCCAGUCUGCAUGGAGCCGACCUUGAAAUACCACCCUUUAAUGUUUGAUGUUCUAACGUUGACCCGUAAUCCGGGUUGCGGACAGUGUCUGGUGGGUAGUUUGACUGGGGCGGUCUCCUCCUAAAGAGUAACGGAGGAGCACGAAGGUUGGCUAAUCCUGGUCGGACAUCAGGAGGUUAGUGCAAUGGCAUAAGCCAGCUUGACUGCGAGCGUGACGGCGCGAGCAGGUGCGAAAGCAGGUCAUAGUGAUCCGGUGGUUCUGAAUGGAAGGGCCAUCGCUCAACGGAUAAAAGGUACUCCGGGGAUAACAGGCUGAUACCGCCCAAGAGUUCAUAUCGACGGCGGUGUUUGGCACCUCGAUGUCGGCUCAUCACAUCCUGGGGCUGAAGUAGGUCCCAAGGGUAUGGCUGUUCGCCAUUUAAAGUGGUACGCGAGCUGGGUUUAGAACGUCGUGAGACAGUUCGGUCCCUAUCUGCCGUGGGCGCUGGAGAACUGAGGGGGGCUGCUCCUAGUACGAGAGGACCGGAGUGGACGCAUCACUGGUGUUCGGGUUGUCAUGCCAAUGGCACUGCCCGGUAGCUAAAUGCGGAAGAGAUAAGUGCUGAAAGCAUCUAAGCACGAAACUUGCCCCGAGAUGAGUUCUCCCUGACUCCUUGAGAGUCCUGAAGGAACGUUGAAGACGACGACGUUGAUAGGCCGGAUGUGUAAGCGCAGCGAUGCGUUGAGCUAACCGGUACUAAUGAACCGUGAGGCUUAACCUUACAACGCCGAAGCUGUU
RNAcentral lists this ribosomal RNA (2930 nucleotides) under Escherichia coli. RNAcentral's name for it is "23S ribosomal RNA". It matches the Rfam family "Bacterial large subunit ribosomal RNA". Lineage: Bacteria; Pseudomonadati; Pseudomonadota; Gammaproteobacteria; Enterobacterales; Enterobacteriaceae. The record is from RNAcentral.